GACGAACGCUGGCGGCGUGCCUAAUACAUGCAAGUCGAACGGUCUUUUCUAUGGAAGCUUGCUUCCACUGAGAAGAUAGUGGCGAACGGGUGAGUAACACGUGGGUAACCUGCCCAUAAGAGGGGGAUAACAUCCGGAAACGGGUGCUAAUACCGCAUAGUUUUCUUGAUCGCAUGAUUGAGAAAGGAGAGACGGCCUUUGUGCUGUCGCUUAUGGAUGGACCCGCGGCGUAUUAGUUAGUUGGUGAGGUAAUGGCUCACCAAGACGAUGAUACGUAGCCGACCUGAGAGGGUGAUCGGCCACAUUGGGACUGAGACACGGCCCAAACUCCUACGGGAGGCAGCAGUAGGGAAUCUUCCGCAAUGGACGAAAGUCUGACGGAGCAACGCCGCGUGAGUGAAGAAGGUUUUCGGAUCGUAAAACUCUGUUGUCAGAGAAGAACAAGUUGGAGAGUAACUGCUCCAGCCUUGACGGUAUCUGACCAGAAAGCCACGGCUAA
This 499-nucleotide ribosomal RNA is filed under the name uncultured bacterium. RNAcentral describes it as "bacterial SSU rRNA". It matches the Rfam family "Bacterial small subunit ribosomal RNA", at positions 28 to 500 of the family's 1533-position model. The record is from RNAcentral.